AUUAGAACAAAUGUAACCAACAUGCAGUUAUCAGCCAUUAAACGCACACUGUAGCAUAUCCAAUCAAACGCUUCGUAUUCAUAACGCAAUUGGUGUAGUCACACAACUAGUCUGUAACUGUAAAUCAGUUUUCUGCGUAGAUUUAUUGCGAAAGUUCCACGUUAACAUCAAAAUGCCAAAAUAUUCGCGAUCCGAAUUGAAAAAGAUGGUGGAGGAGAUCUGGCGAAAUCUACCUCACCGAUUCGACGGAUAUAUUUUCAUCGAUGCGAAAAAUUCGGACAACAUCAGUUAUCAAUGCAACGGGGGUCACAUUUCGAAAAGACUAGUACCAGCAAGUAAACAGAUGCUUCCAGUGCCAUGGAGCCGUGAAACACAAUGCCGAAGAAAUUAAGCAAAAGAUUCUCACACAAGUUGGAAAAAUAAUUCGAGAUUUCUUGAUCACUGGAGUGCAGACAAACACAUGUGGCAAGGAUACAGUCUGAUCAAGCUUGGUGGUUACACGAAAGUCGACACAGAAAUUCGACGUGCAAAAGGGCACAUAACGAAAGUGGCACCCUAUCGAAUUUUGCAUUACAGCGCUGGCUGUAGAGACAAUGUGUGGCUCUCAGAAUCUUCCAGCGUGGUAAAAACUACAAGCAUUUGGUGUAUGUGGGAAAGGUGAAUAAGUACCAGGAGUACGAGGAUCGUUUACUUCACAUUUUGUUCAAAAGAUUCAUUUCCGACACCAUCGAAUUUCACUUAUGAUUACAACGGGUUGGAUGACGAUUUACAGGCACAAAGCCAUGCGAAGUGGCAAUCGCUGUCAAGAAAAACAGGUGAGACGUUCGACGCGUUCAUUUGGACACACGAUAUAAACGAAUUGAAAAUCAUUCGACACUAUCCAAACGGUGAGUUUUGCACAUAUUAACAGCCUGAAGGAUGCCGACAUGGCAGAACAGGUGAUUGAUAUUGUAUAAAAUAACCUUUUAGUCAAUUUGAAUCAUGUUGAUUACAUUUGAUGGACUUUC
Bradysia coprophila is the source of this 1007-nucleotide long non-coding RNA. RefSeq lists it as uncharacterized. The record is from RefSeq and is a predicted model, not a curated record. NCBI's taxonomy places the organism in Eukaryota, Metazoa, Arthropoda, Insecta, Diptera, Sciaridae.